This 354-nucleotide ribosomal RNA is filed under the name Salmonella enterica subsp. enterica serovar Reading. Its description in RNAcentral is "partial 23S ribosomal RNA". It matches the Rfam family "Bacterial large subunit ribosomal RNA", at positions 839 to 1191 of the family's 2925-position model. Lineage: Bacteria; Pseudomonadati; Pseudomonadota; Gammaproteobacteria; Enterobacterales; Enterobacteriaceae. The record is from RNAcentral. RNAcentral also lists the same sequence under 1 other name.
CGGGAGAUAGCUGGUUCUCCCCGAAAGCUAUUUAGGUAGCGCCUCGUGAAUUCAUCUCCGGGGGUAGAGCACUGUUUCGGCUAGGGGGCCAUCCCGGCUUACCAACCCGAUGCAAACUGCGAAUACCGGAGAAUGUUAUCACGGGAGACACACGGCGGGUGCUAACGUCCGUCGUGAAGAGGGAAACAACCCAGACCGCCAGCUAAGGUCCCAAAGUCAUGGUUAAGUGGGAAACGAUGUGGGAAGGCCCAGACAGCCAGGAUGUUGGCUUAGAAGCAGCCAUCAUUUAAAGAAAGCGUAAUAGCUCACUGGUCGAGUCGGCCUGCGCGGAAGAUGUAACGGGGCUAAACCAUG